Molecule: ribosomal RNA, 497 nt
Filed under: uncultured bacterium
Lineage: Bacteria
Description: partial 16S ribosomal RNA
Rfam family: Bacterial small subunit ribosomal RNA
Source: RNAcentral
GAUGAACGCUGGCGGCGUGCCUAAUACAUGCAAGUCGAGCGAACAGACGAGGAGCUUGCUCCUCUGACGUUAGCGGCGGACGGGUGAGUAACACGUGGAUAACCUACCUAUAAGACUGGGAUAACUUCGGGAAACCGGCGCUAAUACCGGAUAAUAUAUUGAACCGCAUGGUUCCAUAGUGAAAGACGGUUUUGCUGUCACUUAUAGAUGGAUCCGCGCCGCAUUAGCUAGUUGGUAAGGUAACGGCUUACCAAGGCGACGAUGCGUAGCCGACCUGAGAGGGUGAUCGGCCACACUGGAACUGAGACACGGUCCAGACUCCUACGGGGAGCAGCAGUAGGGAAUCUUCCGCAAUGGGCGAAAGCCUGACGGAGCAACGCCGCGUGAGUGAUGAAGGUCUUCGGAUCGUAAAACUCUGUUAUUAGUGAAGAACAAAUGUGUAAGUAACUAUGCACGUCUUGACGGUACCUAAUCAGAAAGCCACGGCUAACUACGUG